Molecule: long non-coding RNA, 436 nt
Organism: Tupaia belangeri chinensis (Chinese tree shrew)
Lineage: Eukaryota; Metazoa; Chordata; Mammalia; Scandentia; Tupaiidae
Exons: 3
Source: RefSeq, a predicted model, not a curated record
GCCUGGCGUAGUGAGAGGCUCGGCUUUCUCUGGUCUAGUCCGUCUUUUCGGCAUGGAGGAGAGACAAGUCUCAAGUCAAGGACACCAGGAGAAUAAUGCCAUAGCAGUCUAGUAAGGGAAGAAGGCAGUAGCAUUGGGAAGAUGAGAAAGCAGCAGAUCUAAAGGACAUUAAGGAGUCUGAGAGAAUCACCAAUCGCCUGGGUUUUCAAGAACGGUUCUUACUGAGAAGAUGUCUAGAGAAGCCUUUUUGUUCAACCUGUCGGUGUUUGCAUGAUUUACAGUAUAAUUAACCAGCCCCGUUGCACCAGCAGACCAGCUCCCUUCACUAUUCAUCAUGUUUCUAGCAACUUCAGAUCAUCAACUCUGCUGGGAGGAAAUACCUCCUCCUUAGAGAUGUAAAAAUAGUAUGUCCCUGACCAUUCCCACAGGCAGAAUG